Molecule: ribosomal RNA, 344 nt
Filed under: uncultured bacterium
Lineage: Bacteria
Description: bacterial SSU rRNA
Rfam family: Bacterial small subunit ribosomal RNA
Source: RNAcentral
AGGGUUUGAUUAUGGCUCAGGACGAACGCUGGCGGCGUGCUUAACACAUGCAAGUCGAACGGAGCACCCUUGACUGAGGUUUCGGCCAAAUGAUAGGAAUGCUUAGUGGCGGACUGGUGAGUAACGCGUGAGGAACCUGCCUUCCAGAGGGGGACAACAGUUGGAAACGACUGCUAAUACCGCAUGAUAUAUUUGAGGGGCAUCCCUUGGAUAUCAAAGAUUUAUCGCUGGAAGAUGGCCUCGCGUCUGAUUAGCUAGUAGGCGGGGUAACGGCCCACCUAGGCGACGAUCAGUAGCCGGACUGAGAGGUUGACCGGCCACAUUGGGACUGAGAUACGGCCCAG